AGACUAUUACAGGUACGGGCUCUGAGAGGAGUAGCCCGGAGAUGGGUACUGAGACACGGACCCAGGCCCUAUGGGGCGCAGCAGGCGAGAAAACUUUGCAAUGUGCGAAAGCACGACAAGGUUAAUCCGAGUGGUUUCUGCUAAAGAAACCUUUUGCCAGUCCUAGAAACACUGGUGAAUAAGGGGUGGGCAAGUUCUGGUGUCAGCCGCCGCGGUAAAACCAGCACCUCAAGUGGUCAGGAUGAUUAUUGGGCCUAAAGCAUCCGUAGCUCGUUUUGUAAGUUUUCGGUUAAAUCCAUGCGCUCAACGUAUGGGCUGCCGGGAAUACUGCAUAACUAGGAAGUGGGAGAGGUAGACGGUACUCGGUAGGAAGGGGUAAAAUCCUUUGAUCUAAUUGAUGACCACCUGUGGCGAAGGCGGUCUACCAGAACACGUUUCGACGGUGAGGGAUGAAAGCUGGGGGAGCAAACCGGAUUAGAUACCCGGGUAGUCCCAGCUGUAAACUAUACAAACUCAGUGAUGCAUUGGCUUGUGGCCAAUGCAGUGCUGCAGGGAAGCCGUUAAGUUUGCCGCCUGGGAAGUACGUACGCAAGUAUGAAACUUAAAGGAAUUGGCGGGGGAGCACCACAAGGGGUGAAGCCUGCGGUUCAAUUGGAGUCAACGCCAGAAAUCUUACCCGGAGAGACAGCAGAAUGAAGGUCAAGCUGAAGACUUUACCAGACAAGCUGAGAGGUGGUGCAUGGCCGUCGCCAGCUCGUGCCGUGAGAUGUCCUGUUAAGUCAGGUAACGAGCGAGAUCCCUGCCUCUAGUUGCCACCAUUACUCUCAGGAGUAGUGGGGCGAAUUAGCGGGACCGCCGCAGUUAAUGCGGAGGAAGGAAGGGGCCACGGCAGGUCAGUAUGCCCCGAAACUCUGGGGCCACACGCGGGCUGCAAUGGUAGUGACAAUUGGUUCCGAAUCCGAAAGGAGGAGGUAAUCCUCAAACGCUACCACAGUUAUGACUGAGGGCUGCAACUCGCCCUCACGAAUAUGGAAUCCCUAGUAACUGCGUGUCAUUAUCGCGCGGUGAAUACGUCCCUGCUCCUUGCACACACCGCCCGUCGUUUCAUUGAAGUUUGCUUUUAGCGAGGUGACGUCUGAUUGGCGUUAUCGAACUUGAGGUAAGUGACAAGGGAAAAGUCGUAACAAGGUAACCAAGGGCGAAUUCCACAUUGGGCUGCAGCCCGGGGGAUCCACUAGUUCUAG
Molecule: ribosomal RNA, 1244 nt
Filed under: uncultured Nitrososphaerota archaeon
Lineage: Archaea; Thermoproteati; Nitrososphaerota
Description: bacterial SSU rRNA
Rfam family: Archaeal small subunit ribosomal RNA
Source: RNAcentral